Molecule: ribosomal RNA, 1498 nt
Filed under: metagenome
Description: bacterial SSU rRNA
Rfam family: Bacterial small subunit ribosomal RNA
Source: RNAcentral
GAGUUUGAUCAUGGCUCAGAUUGAACGCUGGCGGCAGGCCUAACACAUGCAAGUCGAACGGUAACAGGAAGAAGCUUGCUUCUUUGCUGACGAGUGGCGGACGGGUGAGUAAUGUCUGGGAAACUGCCUGAUGGAGGGGGAUAACUACUGGAAACGGUAGCUAAUACCGCAUAACGUCGCAAGACCAAAGAGGGGGACCUUCGGGCCUCUUGCCAUCGGAUGUGCCCAGAUGGGAUUAGCUAGUAGGUGGGGUAACGGCUCACCUAGGCGACGAUCCCUAGCUGGUCUGAGAGGAUGACCAGCCACACUGGAACUGAGACACGGUCCAGACUCCUACGGGAGGCAGCAGUGGGGAAUAUUGCACAAUGGCGCAAGCCUGAUGCAGCCAUGCCGCGUGUAUGAAGAAGGCCUUCGGGUUGUAAAGUACUUUCAGCGGGGAGGAAGGGAGUAAAGUUAAUACCUUUGCUCAUUGACGUUACCCGCAGAAGAAGCACCGGCUAACUCCGUGCCAGCAGCCGCGGUAAUACGGAGGGUGCAAGCGUUAAUCGGAAUUACUGGGCGUAAAGCGCACGCAGGCGGUUUGUUAAGUCAGAUGUGAAAUCCCCGGGCUCAACCUGGGAACUGCAUCUGAUACUGGCAAGCUUGAGUCUCGUAGAGGGGGGUAGAAUUCCAGGUGUAGCGGUGAAAUGCGUAGAGAUCUGGAGGAAUACCGGUGGCGAAGGCGGCCCCCUGGACGAAGACUGACGCUCAGGUGCGAAAGCGUGGGGAGCAAACAGGACUAGAUACCCUGGUAGUCCACGCCGUAAACGAUGUCGACUUGGAGGUUGUGCCCUUGAGGCGUGGCUUCCGGAGCUAACGCGUUAAGUCGACCGCCUGGGGAGUACGGCCGCAAGGUUAAAACUCAAAUGAAUUGACGGGGGCCCGCACAAGCGGUGGAGCAUGUGGUUUAAUUCGAUGCAACGCGAAGAACCUUACCUGGUCUUGACAUCCACGGAAGUUUUCAGAGAUGAGAAUGUGCCUUCGGGAACCGUGAGACAGGUGCUGCAUGGCUGUCGUCAGCUCGUGUUGUGAGAUGUUGGGUUAAGUCCCGCAACGAGCGCAACCCUUAUCCUUUGUUGCCAGCGGUCCGGCCGGGAACUCAAAGGAGACUGCCAGUGAUAAACUGGAGGAAGGUGGGGAUGACGUCGAGUCAUCAUGGCCCUUACGACCAGGGCUACACACGUGCUACAAUGGCGCAUACAAAGAGAAGCGACCUCGCGAGAGCAAGCGGACCUCAUAAAGUGCGUCGUAGUCCGGAUUGGAGUCUGCAACUCGACUCCAUGAAGUCGGAAUCGUUAGUAAUCGUGGAUCAGAAUGCCACGGUGAAUACGUUCCCGGGCCUUGUACACACCGCCCGUCACACCAUGGGAGUGGGUUGCAAAAGAAGUAGGUAGCUUAACCUUCGGGAGGGCGCUUACCACUUUGUGAUUCAUGACUGGGGUGAAGUCGUAACAAGGUA